GAAAGAUUAAUAUCCGAUAGCAUAUGUUUCCCGCAUGGGUUUUAUAUUAAAGAAAUUCGGUAUGAGAUGGGGAUGCGUUCCAUUAGUUUGUUGGGGGGGUAACGGCCCACCAAGACUACGAUGGAUAGGGGUUCUGAG
This 138-nucleotide ribosomal RNA is filed under the name uncultured Bacteroidaceae bacterium. RNAcentral's name for it is "partial 16S ribosomal RNA". It matches the Rfam family "Bacterial small subunit ribosomal RNA", at positions 157 to 296 of the family's 1533-position model. The record is from RNAcentral. Lineage: Bacteria; Pseudomonadati; Bacteroidota; Bacteroidia; Bacteroidales; Bacteroidaceae.